RNAcentral lists this transfer RNA (74 nucleotides) under Rhipicephalus microplus (southern cattle tick). Its description in RNAcentral is "tRNA-Trp". The stretch from base 7 to 68 matches the Rfam family "tRNA", at positions 6 to 65 of the family's 71-position model. Rfam says of the family: Transfer RNA (tRNA) molecules are approximately 80 nucleotides in length. Their secondary structure includes four short double-helical elements and three loops (D, anti-codon, and T loops). The record is from RNAcentral. Lineage: Eukaryota; Metazoa; Arthropoda; Arachnida; Ixodida; Ixodidae.
GACUUAGGUGGCGCAACGGUAGCGCGUCUGACUCCAGAUCAGAAGGUUGCGUGUUCGAAAUCACGUCCGGGUCA